This 507-nucleotide ribosomal RNA is filed under the name uncultured Vibrio sp. RNAcentral describes it as "bacterial SSU rRNA". It matches the Rfam family "Bacterial small subunit ribosomal RNA", at positions 354 to 853 of the family's 1533-position model. The record is from RNAcentral. Lineage: Bacteria; Pseudomonadati; Pseudomonadota; Gammaproteobacteria; Vibrionales; Vibrionaceae.
GUGGGGAAUAUUGCACAAUGGGCGCAAGCCUGAUGCAGCCAUGCCGCGUGUAUGAAGAAGGCCUUCGGGUUGUAAAGUACUUUCAGCAGUGAGGAAGGUGGAGUCGUUAAUAGCGGCCUCAUUUGACGUUAGCUGCAGAAGAAGCACCGGCUAACUCCGUGCCAGCAGCCGCGGUAAUACGGAGGGUGCGAGCGUUAAUCGGAAUUACUGGGCGUAAAGCGCAUGCAGGUGGUUUGUUAAGUCAGAUGUGAAAGCCCGGGGCUCAACCUCGGAAUUGCAUUUGAAACUGGCAGACUAGAGUACUGUAGAGGGGGGUAGAAUUUCAGGUGUAGCGGUGAAAUGCGUAGAGAUCUGAAGGAAUACCGGUGGCGAAGGCGGCCCCCUGGACAGAUACUGACACUCAGAUGCGAAAGCGUGGGGAGUAAACAGGAUUAGAUACCCUGGUAGUCCACGCCGUAAACGAUGUCUACUUGGAGGUUGUGGCCUUGAGCCGUGGCUUUCGGAGCU